UCAGCAGCCGCGGUAAUACGGAGGGGGCUAGCGUUGUUCGGAAUUACUGGGCGUAAAGCGCACGUAGGCGGCUUUGUAAGUCAGAGGUGAAAGCCUGGAGCUCAACUCCAGAACUGCCUUUGAGACUGCAUCGCUUGAAUCCAGGAGAGGUCAGUGGAAUUCCGAGUGUAGAGGUGAAAUUCGUAGAUAUUCGGAAGAACACCAGUGGCGAAGGCGGCUGACUGGACUGGUAUUGACGCUGAGGAACGAAAGCGUGGGGAGCAAACAGGAUUAGAUACCCUGGUAGUCCACGCCGUAAACGAUGAUAACMAAGCUGUACCGG
RNAcentral lists this ribosomal RNA (322 nucleotides) under uncultured bacterium. Its description in RNAcentral is "bacterial SSU rRNA". It matches the Rfam family "Bacterial small subunit ribosomal RNA", at positions 508 to 829 of the family's 1533-position model. The record is from RNAcentral.